RNAcentral lists this ribosomal RNA (402 nucleotides) under uncultured bacterium. Its description in RNAcentral is "bacterial SSU rRNA". It matches the Rfam family "Bacterial small subunit ribosomal RNA", at positions 355 to 774 of the family's 1533-position model. The record is from RNAcentral.
UGGGGAAUAUUGCACAAUGGGCGAAAGCCUGAUGCAGCAACGCCGCGUGAGUGAUGAAGGCCUUCGGGUUGUAAAGCUCUGUCUUCUGGGACGAUAAUGACGGUACCAGAGGAGGAAGCCACGGCUAACUACGUGCCAGCAGCCGCGGUAAUACGUAGGUGGCAAGCGUUGUCCGGAUUUACUGGGCGUAAAGGAUGCGUAGGCGGAUACUUAAGUCAGAUGUGAAAAUCCCGGGCUUAACUUGGGAACUGCAUUUGAAACUGGGUAUCUAGAGUGCGGGAGAGGAAAGUGGAAUUCCUAGUGUAGCGGUUAAAUGCGUAGAGAUUAGGAAGAACACCGGUGGCGAAGGCGACUUUCUGGACCGUAACUGACGCUGAGGCAUGAAAGCGUGGGGAGCAAACA